CAGUCGCCGCGGUAACACGUAGGUGGCAAGCGUUGUCCGGAAUUAUUGGGCGUAAAGGGCUCGCAGGCGGUUUCUUAAGUCUGAUGUGAAAGCCCCCGGCUCAACCGGGGAGGGUCAUUGGAAACUGGGAAACUUGAGUGCAGAAGAGGAGAGUGGAAUUCCACGUGUAGCGGUGAAAUGCGUAGAGAUGUGGAGGAACACCAGUGGCGAAGGCGACUCUCUGGUCUGUAACUGACGCUGAGGAGUGAAAGCGUGGGGAGCAAACAGGAUUAGAUACCCCUGUAGUCCCUGUCUCUUAUAC
This 301-nucleotide ribosomal RNA is filed under the name uncultured bacterium. RNAcentral's name for it is "partial 16S ribosomal RNA". It matches the Rfam family "Bacterial small subunit ribosomal RNA", at positions 509 to 807 of the family's 1533-position model. The record is from RNAcentral.